Aplysia californica (California sea hare) is the source of this 339-nucleotide long non-coding RNA. RefSeq lists it as uncharacterized. NCBI's taxonomy places the organism in Eukaryota, Metazoa, Mollusca, Gastropoda, Aplysiida, Aplysiidae. The transcript has 2 exons. The record is from RefSeq and is a predicted model, not a curated record.
CUGCCAGCUGUUCCUUUGGCUUUUGACCGUCCUGUGAUAGAUGUUCUAAUACCACCAGUAGGAUAGGACAGCCUGUUGUACCACCUAUUGGACUGGAAGACCGCAAAUACGAAGUGAUGAAUGAUGGACAGCCUGAGAAGUACUAGGGCCUCCUACAAACCUGGAGGGUUAUCUGUAGGACUGGAGAACCAGAGGACCAGAGGACUGCCAGCAAGACCGGGAAAUGCCUGCAGGACAAUCAGCUGCAGGAGCAGCGUGCCACGUUCAGGACUGGAGUUAACGCCUUUUUUGUGUGCUACGGAAUAUACUUAUUCAAAACCUUGUUUACCAUGAAAAAAA